This 222-nucleotide ribosomal RNA is filed under the name uncultured bacterium. RNAcentral's name for it is "partial 16S ribosomal RNA". It matches the Rfam family "Bacterial small subunit ribosomal RNA", at positions 328 to 539 of the family's 1533-position model. The record is from RNAcentral.
ACGCUCGACACCUACGGAGGCAGCAGUGAGGAAUAUUGGUCAAUGGGCGCUAGCCUGAACCAGCCAAGUAGCGUGAAGGAUGAAGGCUCUAUGGGUCGUAAACUUCUUUUAUAUAAGAAUAAAGUGCAGUAUGUAUACUGUUUUGUAUGUAUUAUAUGAAUAAGGAUCGGCUAACUCCGUGCCAGCACGCCGGACGGUAAUCUGAGGCGGGCUGGACAAGGC